GGGUGAUGUUUUCUUGCAAAACCAAAAUCGGCUCCAUUCUUCCUCCUCGAGAGUCUAGCCACGGGCAAGACCCGCACAACAAAAAUACAGGGGUGACAUUUUUCAAAAGCUCCAACGCUCAAGCUUGACCAACGAGUAUGCAAAGCCAACAAAGCCUGUGCACAAAGAAACUAAGGAGAGGGUGACAUUUUUUAAGGAAAAAAAGCGUCACUCGUUCCUUUAUGCUACAACUUUGUUGACCAUUCAAGUAAAAUCACUCAAACACAAAAAUGACUAAACAAAAGCAAUCUGCUAAAGUACGACCAACAAAGGUAACCAGCUUCGAGAGGGUAAGUUCCGACCGAGCAUUGAAUAUUUACAACCUGGCUGACAAAAGCAACCAACAUUUACAAUCAACUCUCAAAAGUCUCUAAAACCACAAGACAGAGUUCCCAAUCAGCUUAAAAUCACUCAAACACAAAAAUGACUAAACAAAAGCAAUCUGCUAAAGUACGACCAACAAAGGUAACCAGCUUCGAGAGGGUAAGUUCCGACCAAGCAUUGAAUAUUUACAACCUGGCUGACAAAAGCAGCCAACAUUUACAAUCAACUCUCAAAAGUCUCUAAAACCACAAGAUAGAGUUCCCAAUCAGCUUCAGAAAUCAUUGUUCUUCUCCUGCACCAUCAUCA
RNAcentral lists this long non-coding RNA (669 nucleotides) under Setaria viridis. Its description in RNAcentral is "long non-coding RNA (SVIR_LNC010898)". Lineage: Eukaryota; Viridiplantae; Streptophyta; Magnoliopsida; Poales; Poaceae. The record is from RNAcentral.